RNAcentral lists this ribosomal RNA (497 nucleotides) under uncultured bacterium. RNAcentral's name for it is "partial 16S ribosomal RNA". It matches the Rfam family "Bacterial small subunit ribosomal RNA", at positions 28 to 507 of the family's 1533-position model. The record is from RNAcentral.
GAUGAACGCUGGCGGCGUGCCUAAUACAUGCAAGUCGAGCGAACGGACGAGAAGCUUGCUUCUCUGAUGUUACCGGCGGACGGGUGAGUAACACGUGGAUAACCUACCUAUAAGACUGGGAUAACUUCGGGAAACCGGCGCUAAUACCGGAUAAUAUUUUGAACCGCAUGGUUCAAAAGUAAAAGACGGUCUUGCUGUCACUUAUAGAUGGAUCCGCGCUGCAUUAGCUAGUUGGUAAGGUAACGGCUUACCAAGGCAACGAUGCAUAGCCGACCUGAGAGGGUGAUCGGCCACACUGGAACGGAGACACGGUCCAGACUCCUACGGGAGGCAGCAGUAGGGAAUCUUCCGCAAAGGGCGAAAGCCUGACGGAGCAACGCCGCGUGAGUGAUGAAGGUCUUCGGAUCGUAAAACUCUGUUAUUAGGGAAGAACAUAUGUGUAAGUAACUGUGCACAUCCUGACGGUACCUAAUCAGAAAGCCACGGCUAACUACGUG